Molecule: transfer RNA, 73 nt
Filed under: Actinomycetota bacterium
Lineage: Bacteria; Bacillati; Actinomycetota
Description: tRNA-Glu
Rfam family: tRNA
About the family: Transfer RNA (tRNA) molecules are approximately 80 nucleotides in length. Their secondary structure includes four short double-helical elements and three loops (D, anti-codon, and T loops).
Source: RNAcentral
GCCCCCAUGGUGUAACGGUUAGCACGCGAGGCUUUCAAUCUCGAAGCGUGGGGUUCGACUCCCCCUGGGGGUA